Molecule: long non-coding RNA, 2771 nt
Filed under: Oryzias sinensis (Chinese medaka)
Lineage: Eukaryota; Metazoa; Chordata; Actinopteri; Beloniformes; Adrianichthyidae
Description: lncRNA (ENSOSIG00000022203.1)
Source: RNAcentral
AUGGAGUCUCUGCACAUGUGGGUGAUCCUUCUCGCUCUCAGUGGUUUUCAGCAGCAUGUUCUUACCAUGCCUACAUCAACUCUUUGGGUCAGACCAGGUGAAAAUGCCACCCUGUAUUGCCCCCUGCUGGACACUUUGCACCGCAACAAGUCCUCACCCACUGCCUCCACCAUCAGCUGGUACAGGACGGCUGCAGGUCAGGGACCACAAAUGCUGUUGACAGUGAUGCCCUCUAACACCCCCAACGUGACGUACGGAGCCGGAGUUUGUCCAGAGAAGGUGUCCGUGGGGGUCAAUGGGUCCCUGUUGCUGCGCGGCUUCCAGCAAAACGAUUCUGCUGUUUACUUCUGCGGGAUGAGCCAGGGGAGCAAGCCGGAGAAGAAACCCGACGCUCCGAGCCACAGAGGGCAUUAGAGCUCCUGCUCUUCAGUUUCCUCUGCCUGUGUUUAUGUAUGACCACACAUCUUUCAGAAAUGAAGUAAAGUUUACUCAGAAAUUGGAUCAGUCUUGAUGUUUGUUUACUGCAGAGUUCAGUUAGAGCAUAUAACAAGUGUAGUAUAGAGUAUAAACCAAGUACGUGUAGUCUGGGAAGUACACUAACGGAAUACUUCUUCAGACUAUAUUGGAACAUUUGAAAUGUUUAAAUUGCAUAGAUAGUACAUAAAAAGUAAACUUCAGGUAUAGUGCCUCAAUUUUAGUAUAGACUAAGUCAGGGGUCUGUAACCUUUAAUGCUUCAAGAGCCAUUUGGACCCGUUUCUUACCAACCAAAACCCAGCAAGAGCCACUAAGUCAACAUUUAGAAAAUACAUAUUAUUAAUGUUUUUGAGGACAUUAAGCCAUUCAUUCCUCAAAUGUGGCAUAUAAAUACUUACAAAUAUCGAAUUACAACAUUGUUAUAUUUCUAUUGCAGCACACUUACGUUUAUUUCAAAAUAAAAUACCUUCUGUGUGAAAUAGAUUUCCCCUGAUGCAACAGAUUAACUUGCAAUAACACUUUAAGAACUUUACCACUAAACAGCACCUAGACUUGAAAAAAGAAUACGAGCUUUAAACCUAUUCUAAUAAUAAAGCACUCUGACAGUAGAUCAAACCCUUUUAAUGGAGGGAUAAAAACGCUGCAUAUGGCUCCAGAUCCAGGUUGCAGGACUGGACCAAGUAUACACUAAACCGACUACCUUUGUCUAAGGAAAAUUCUUCAAAACAUACAAAGAACAAAAGUUUUUUUUUUAGAUAAAUCAUUAAAAAAUGGACUGAUCUGUCCGAUCUGAAUUUAAAUCUACCAAAUCAAGAGUUUAUUCUUGACCAGCAAUGCGAGCAGCUUCUUUGUGGACAUAAACAACAAAAAGGCUUGGAAAUAACUACAAAUGUUUAUAAAGUGUUUUAAUAAAGAUACAAUGUUGCAUCAUGUGGCCAUAAACUACAGAGGGGAGUUUCACAAUCCUUUAAUUUAUUCACAUGACGUGCCAGACUUUAAAAUGUUGGUCUGAAUACAUCUUCCAUUACACCAUACUUCUAAAGUUAAGCAACUACACACGAAAAACUGAUGUACAUAAGGUAAUGACAGAAAGUAUUACUUAAACAAAGAAAAUAAUUUUCUGUAAACAUUAAACGUGUUUUUUUGUGUUUACUUUGCAUUUUGAAAGCCACAGAAAUGAAGUUAUUAGCACAGUUGGAGAAAUUCUCACAACUCUAAAGAUCAACUUAAGAUAAACCUGAAAUAAACUAGACAAAUUUAAGAACAAAUUUAUGAACAAUUUUAAAAACAAAUCAAGAAAAAACACUUUUAACCAUCAAAUUUUGAGGGAAUUUGGAAAUCUUAAAAUAAAACCUGUUGGAAUGAACCCUUCUAGAUACUGUUUUGCGCAGAACAGUUUAACAUUUAAUUAAAGAAUAAAACACUUAAGAAGUAAGUUAGAUUCUUUGUUUAUUCUAUCCAGCCUUUAUCAAAACAGCAAAAAACAUUGUGUUUGCGUGCUAAGGAGUUUGUGUUUGACCGUUAAACAGAGAUCUUAUUUUGGUUUCUGGAGAGGAAAUUUCCUGUUUUUCAGUCUUUCAUCAACUGUAGGAGCUAACGGUCAUCUUGAUCCCAGAGCAGCUCUUUCCUCUGGAGACUGCUGGCGUUCUGCUCCAACAGUUUGUUGAGGUUCCUUCUUCCAGAAUAAGAAGACUUCCUGUGUUCACUGAUGAAGAGCAAAGCCGGAGGCUUCAGAGAGGAGCUGCAGCACCUCUGAGCAGGUAAAACAAGACCUGAGACAUACUCAAAUAUAGAAAUUCAUUUACAUUCAUCUAGGAAACAUUUUCUGCAAAAGACAAACUUGUUUGGAACAAGUCCUCCUAAAUGGUGUUCUUCUGGGCUCUGUACUUGGUCUGGUUCCAUUUCCAUUGCUAAACUACAAGCAUCCACAUCUUCUGUUCUUCAGAGAACCUGGCUGUUAACCCUUGUGCUAUCAUAGGCACUUUAACAUUGGGAGUUGGGUCAUCUAGACCCACUAGACAGUGCUCUGAACCUUUUUUCUUCAAUGAUUUGUGAUCUUCACUGGUGUCCAUGGAUUACGUGAAAUCUUUCCACCUUUAUCCACCUUUGUCAUGGUAGGGAGAACACGUCAAUGUAAGGGUGGGGUCACCUAAGAUAGCACAAGAGUUAAAGGUUCAUCCAACAAACAUUUUGCUGCUCAACUAAAUAACUCCUUCAAUUUUCUUUUUGAACUGUCUGUGACUUAACGUUUGAAGUUUGGAUAGAAUGGAGAACUUAGGCAUGUGUCCUUGAGUUU